This 262-nucleotide long non-coding RNA is filed under the name Phoenix dactylifera (date palm). RNAcentral's name for it is "long non-coding RNA (PDAC_LNC015626)". The record is from RNAcentral. Lineage: Eukaryota; Viridiplantae; Streptophyta; Magnoliopsida; Arecales; Arecaceae.
UGUGUUUGGGCUCAAAAUGUGAAACGAAAGCUAGAUGAUUGUUUAAGUUCCUAAGAGAUGCUCUAGUCCUAACAGGUUGAGAUGGAUCAUCUAGAAUUAAUUCCUUAGGAUGCCCGUGAGCAAACCUCCAAGCCUUAGUCAGCCCAUGAUCCACAAUAGCCUCUUGGCUUGAUGAUGCAUCUCCAAUUAAUUUUUGAUUAUUAUCUAGUAAUGUCAUCUCAUCAAUCUUUUCUUCAAGAAUUUUCGUAUCAUCAUCAAAAUU